Molecule: ribosomal RNA, 253 nt
Filed under: uncultured bacterium
Lineage: Bacteria
Description: partial 16S ribosomal RNA
Rfam family: Bacterial small subunit ribosomal RNA
Source: RNAcentral
UACGUAGGGUCCAAGCGUUAUCCGGAUUUACUGGGUGUAAAGGGCGAGUAGACGGCGCCACAAGUCAGAUGUGAAAACUUAGAGCUCAACUUUAAGACUGCAUCUGAAACUGUGGUGCUAGAGUGCAGAAGAGGUAAGUGGAAUUCCUAGUGUAGCGGUGAAAUGCGUAGAUAUUAGGAGGAACACCAGUGGCGAAGGCGACUUACUGGGCUGUAACUGACGUUGAGGCGCGAAAGUGUGGGGAGCAAACAGG